RNAcentral lists this unclassified non-coding RNA (1090 nucleotides) under Hevea brasiliensis (rubber tree). Lineage: Eukaryota; Viridiplantae; Streptophyta; Magnoliopsida; Malpighiales; Euphorbiaceae. The record is from RNAcentral.
UUUGCGUAGGCAGAGAGCAGAAGUCAUGGGGCUUCUUUUACGAAUUUUUUGUUCUUGCUUUGGUGAAGAAUUGGGAACUAAAGACAAUAGUUUUUCUCAUCAAAGGCUACACCGUGGACUCGAAUAAGAGAUGGAUACAGAAAAUCCUGCUCCAAUAGUUGAAAAGGAUACUACAGAUGCGGAGACAUCAUUGGAUAGCUCUCAUCUCAGGAAGAAGAUUCAGAAGAAAGUUCCAAAAAGAAUUCACAAAGCUGAGAGAGAGAAAAUGAAGAGAGAGCAUUUAAAUGAGCUUUUUCUUGGUUUGGCUGAUGCUCUUGAACUAUCUGAGCAGAUGAAUGGAAAAGCCUCUGUAUUGAGUGAAGCUGCUCGAUUUGUAAAGGACAUGCUUUCUCAGAUCAAGCAUAUGAGGACAGAAAAUACGACUUUGCUGUCUGAAUCUCAAUAUCUUAGCGUGGAGAAAAAGGAGCUUGAGGAUGAAAAUACAGUUCUGGAGGCUGAAAUUAGCAAACUGCAGAAUGAGGUCAAAGCAAGGGAAGCUGAGACUAGUCUUGACCUAAAUCUAGCUCCUCCUGAAAUUCAUCACACAGAGUUUGCCUCACAAACUAACUAUAUGAGAUUGCCUGCUUCGGAGCACGGAUUUCAACAGUCACAGAUGAUGAACCCCGUGUACGUCUUUCCCUUGAGUUCUAAUCCUCAGGCUUAUCCAGCGCCUGAUGCUGCAGAUCCCAUGGCUAUGCCCUCAUCUACUGUGAAGAAACCACAGCCUAGAUACCCCACUCCAAAUGAUGUAUGGCCAUCCCAAAUCCUUGAAAAGAGGCCUCAGUUAUUGCGACAGGAGGUUCAAGAUGGUGCGUAAGUAUAGUAGUCUAGAAGAAACAAGACAUUCGUUCAUAGGGAAUGGCAUGUAUAAGUACUAGUUAGGUAAUGUAGAUUUAGACGAUAAACAGCAGCAGAUUCAGCAAUACUUUGGACUUGCAGCUCUCCAUUGUAUAUAAACUUUUCGUUGUAUUUUGAUCAACAAUAACCUAGUUUGUCUGUUUGAGUGUCGAGGUAGUACCAGUUGGGAGGUAACCAUACCAUAGCAGUGUUG